Vigna unguiculata (cowpea) is the source of this 769-nucleotide long non-coding RNA. RefSeq lists it as uncharacterized. The record is from RefSeq and is a predicted model, not a curated record. Lineage: Eukaryota; Viridiplantae; Streptophyta; Magnoliopsida; Fabales; Fabaceae.
AAAUGCAAAAACCACGUCGUUACCGUAGCGUUUAUAUACGUUUCCGCCGGAGAAUCAGAAGCUGGUUUGAGCUUUUCAAUCGCAUCGAAUUGAGGGAUUUGAUCGGAGAGUGAUGGAUUUCUCUUUACGUUGGAUUCGAAGUCGUACGACAAAGUUGCGGAUGUAUGCGAUAACCUAAUGCUUCAGGUUGCAGUUGAUGGCAUUGCUUACAAGGACGAUUGGCCCUACACCAUUCACCUCCUCGCUCACUAUUAUGUUCACGACAUAACUUUACACAGAGGAGAUGUUUCAGCUGCUUCUCUCUGCUUAUUCAACAAUAAGCAAGCAUUAAAGACAUUGCUUUAUUUAUGGGAAUGAAUGAGGAUGGUGCUACAAAUUAUGUACUACAGCAAGACUGGACUGUCGACCCUGCCUCUCUGAUGCUUAUUGUAAAAGAAGCAACCUCAAGUGACCGAGCAGAAACUUUGAUCAUAGUAAAUUGCAGCGAUUGAAAGAAUGUGUCUUCCAUCUUGAGCAUUGAAGCUCUUAGUUACGAAGAAUUAGAUGUUUAGUUUUAUACGAAAUUCUUUUCAAAUUGAUCAAUCAAACAUUCUAUGUUCUUUAUAGUGAAUGUAUAUUGUUGAUAAUUUUGUAGCCAACCUGUAUGCGUUUGAACUUUAGCACCGAUUGGUGAAAUUCACGUUUCACUUGAUAGCUAUUCGACAAUUAUCUAUCAGUCUCUCUUAUGCGAUAGUGGAACGGUUUAAACUUUGCAUAUUAAACUUGUUAA